GAUGAACGCUGGCGGCGUGCCUAAUACAUGCAAGUCGAGCGAACGGACGAGAAGCUUGCUUUUCUGAUGUUAGCGGCGGACGGGUGAGUAACACGUGGAUAACCUACCUAUAAGACUGGGAUAACUUCGGGAAACCGGAGCUAAUACCGGAUAAUAUUUUGAACCGCAUGGUUCAUAAGUGAAAGACGGUCUUGCUGUCACUUAUAGAUGGAUCCGCGCUGCAUUAGCUAGUUGGUAAGGUAACGGCUUACCAAGGCAACGAUGCAUAGCCGACCUGAGGGGGUGAUCGGCCACACUGGAACUGAGACACGGUCCAGACUCCUACGGGAGGCAGCAGUAGGGAAUCUUCCGCAAUGGGCGAAAGCCUGACGGAGCAACGCCGCGUGAGUGAUGAAGGUCUUCGGAUCGUAAAACUCUGUUAUUAGGGAAGAACAUAUGUGUAAGUAACUAUGCACAUCUUGACGGUACCUAAUCAGAAAGCCACGGCUAACUACGUG
This 497-nucleotide ribosomal RNA is filed under the name uncultured bacterium. Its description in RNAcentral is "partial 16S ribosomal RNA". It matches the Rfam family "Bacterial small subunit ribosomal RNA", at positions 28 to 507 of the family's 1533-position model. The record is from RNAcentral.